AUAUGCUUGUUCCAAAGAUUAAGCCAUGCAUGCUAAAGACAACUCGAAGAAUCUCUCGGAAAUCUGCGAACGGCUCCGUAUAUCUGUUAAAACCCGAUGCCACUCAGAAAGGUUGGUAAGCGGAUAUGGCACGGUAAUUCUGUCAGUAAUACGUGUACGUGCAUAGACCCGGCGUGUGUAAGGCCUUUCGGCUGCACCAUGACUCGGGGGCCUCUGGAUGCACACACCCGUGCUGAUUCGGCCAGAGAGACCUGAACUCCAUCAUAAGUCCGCGGCAACGGUUUUCAGACCUAUCAACUAUAGGCCCGUGUCGAGCACGGGUCUGGUUUUAACGGGUACAGAGGAUCAGGGUUCGGUCCUGGAGAGGUAGCCUGAGAGAUCGCUACUACUUCUAAGGAAGGCAGCAGGCGCGCAACGUUCCCAAUGGGGGGAUUAGUUCCCUGAGGACGUGACGGAACAUACCAAUGCCCCGCCCUUAGGGCUGGGGUAAUCGGAAUGGGGGGAUUUCAAACCCUACGACCGAGUAACAAUUAGAGGACAAGUCUGGUGCCAGCACCCGCGGUAAUUCCAGCUCUAAUAGCAUCUAAUUAAGUUGUUGCAGUUAAAACGCUCGUAGUCAGGAUCCGGAUCGAAGCGCGUGGCCGUCUGUAGACUACCGGGGCAGCGCAAGCUGAACACCUGGUCUCCGCAGAAACGCGCGCGCUCCUUCCGAUAAUUGCCCUCUUCCCGGCUACUUACGCCGUCUAAUAGGUCGAGGGUACUUUACCUUGAGUAAAUGCGAGAGCUCAAGUCAGGUCAUUUAUAGACCCGCGAGUGAAGCCUGUAGCAAGGAACAAUCAAAUAGGCCUCGGCUUAGCUUGGUACGCUACAGAGAUAUGGUCAAUAGGGGGGAUCGGGGUCGGCCACAUGGCAGGGGUAGGGGUGAAAUCCGAUGAUCCUUGCCAGGUGAACUAGAGCGAAAGCAGCCGACAAGUACCCUUUCUUUGAUCAAGAACGAAAGUCUGGGGAUCGAAGAUGAUCAGAUACCAUCGUAGUCCAGACCCUAAAUGCUGCCGACCAUGGAUGGAUCUAGGUCCAUCCCGACCCGACCCGCACCUUGUAGGAAACUAUAAGUGUCUGGGCUCCGGGGGGAGUAUGGUCGCAAGACUGAAACUUAAAGGAAUUGACGGAAGAGCACACAAGGAGUGGAGCCUGCGGCUUAAUUUGACUCAACACGGGAAAACUCACAUUGGCAAGAGAGAGGUAGGAUGCCCGGCACAGCUUGCUAGGCACGAUUCUCUCAGUGGUGGUGCAUGGUCGUUCUUAGUUCGUGGAGUGAUUUGUCUGGUCUAUUCCGCUAACGAGCAAGAUCCUGUCCUUUGGACGUUGCCGCUCUUAUGCGUUUGCUCGUGGUGCUAGGAUCCCGGGCUGGGCCUAACGGCUAGGCUUUAGGGUGAGUGGCGCCACUGCAGACAGCCGUGGCUUUGGGGGGGCUCCGUGGCGCAAGCCGCGUCCCUUUUGAGGCUGCGAUUAUACCAGCUAGAUCUUGAUCUCGUGGCCCCGCAGGGUGCACCUGGUCUCAACCAGGUCUAACAGGUCAAUAACAGGUCAGUGAUGCCCUUAGAUGCCUUUGGCUGCACGCGCGCUACAAUGGGGAGAGCACCGGGUUUACGGGCGCCUAACGGACGCCGCCUUAACGGGCAUUGUGAAUCCUGCUAAUACUCCUCUUAACUGGGACUGCACCGAGUAUCUCGGUACGCGCGAACGUGGAAUUUCUAGUACCCGCCGUUCAGCAGACGGUGUGGAUUC
This 1788-nucleotide ribosomal RNA is filed under the name Arcyria incarnata. RNAcentral describes it as "SSU rRNA". It matches the Rfam family "Eukaryotic small subunit ribosomal RNA", at positions 26 to 1647 of the family's 1831-position model. The record is from RNAcentral. Lineage: Eukaryota; Evosea; Eumycetozoa; Trichiida; Trichiidae.